RNAcentral lists this ribosomal RNA (441 nucleotides) under Triticum aestivum (bread wheat). Its description in RNAcentral is "partial small subunit ribosomal RNA". Lineage: Eukaryota; Viridiplantae; Streptophyta; Magnoliopsida; Poales; Poaceae. The record is from RNAcentral.
AUGAAAUGCCCACAACGCGCUGCAGCGACGUCUUCUUCUCCUCUCUUCGCGGUCGCUCGCCGGUCCAUGCUGCCAUCCACCAAUGUUACAAGUCAACAUCUAAAAGGUUGUCCAAGAAGGUAUGAAGGUCAACGUGACAUCCUGUCCAACCAAACCUAUAAUCUUGACCAACUUGCUUUCGCAUCAGACAGAAUUAAAGAUGCUCAACACACUAUGACUGCAAUGAAAGCUGCCAAUACAGAGCUGAAAGGGAUGAUGAAGACUGUCAGGAUUGAAGAUAUAGAUAGCAUGCAAGACGAGACGAUGGAUGUUAUGGAUGUGAGCAGUGAAAUACAAGAAACUCUUGGUAGAAACUACAAUGUCCCAGAUGACAUUGAUGAGGAGGGACUUAUUUGUAGUUGGCUAUUCUUAGAUGACUCAAACACCAGGAGGAUGAACUAG